GGCAUUGUGGCGGAGUGGUUAACGCGGUUGACUCGAAUGGUCUCUCUUCGGAGAGGGAUUCCAGAAAUCAACUUCCUUCGGGAGCGCAUGUUCGAAUCAUGUCAAUGUCG
Transfer RNA from Trichosporon asahii var. asahii CBS 8904, 110 nucleotides. It matches the Rfam family "tRNA". Rfam says of the family: Transfer RNA (tRNA) molecules are approximately 80 nucleotides in length. Their secondary structure includes four short double-helical elements and three loops (D, anti-codon, and T loops). Further hydrogen bonds mediate the characteristic L-shaped molecular structure. tRNAs have two regions of fundamental functional importance: the anti-codon, which is responsible for specific mRNA codon recognition, and the 3' end, to which the tRNAs corresponding amino acid is attached (by aminoacyl-tRNA synthetases). tRNAs cope with the degeneracy of the genetic code in two manners: having more than one tRNA (with a specific anti-codon) for a particular amino acid; and 'wobble' base-pairing, i.e. permitting non-standard base-pairing at the 3rd anti-codon position. Lineage: Eukaryota; Fungi; Basidiomycota; Tremellomycetes; Trichosporonales; Trichosporonaceae. The record is from Rfam.